AAACACCCAACCGCGCAGCCCACGCUGCGGGGCCACGACUUGGCCGGAUUUAUGUUCAUGGCUGAGGAUGCCAUGGGCCGAGUAAGAAGGAGAACCGCCACCCAACCACGCAGCCAAGAGCAACCCAGGGAUCCCUCCUCUGCUUGCUCCCCUCCCCCACCCCUGCUGUACCUUCUGCGCAGCCAUCUCGGUAACGGGCGUCAGGGGCGCUCGGCGGCCUGCUGUCCAAGCUGGGGUCAGGAGCCUGGCGGUAGCAAAGAGCAUCACCGAAAGGAAGCUGGUAGGCUAGCGAGGCCAGCCCCAAAGACCCACAGAUACACGCGCUGCUCCGAACUCGCGGGCCCGCGGCGUCCACUAAUGAGAUGAACCUGGGCGCGCAGCGGCUGGACCUCAGCUGCUAGGGCGCCGCCAAGGCCCUGCUGGACACCUUCUGGUACCUGGGCCUCGUGUAUUACACCUGUGGCUGCCGCCGAGGCGCGGUUCAAUUUGAAGUCUGAGCCCCUACAGGCCCGUGAAUCCUGGAUUACAACUGCAGUUUGUGCAAGAAGCAGCAGCACCUGCACUUCCACUUAGCAACCUCCGGCUUCACGCUCCUCCAGGGCGCAGAGAGCAUCAAAGCAUUAUCACCGACCCAACACACACCGGCGCUGCGUAGUUUCUGCAGCAGGUGUGGGGUGAAGAGUUGCCACACAGCUGUCUGACACCGGGUGUACGGCGUCACCCCUCACUUCCUGGACAAGGCAACAUUUUCCUAAAGGCACCUGGAGACAUUGAGUACUGCCAAUGGACUGCUGAACCAAACGAAGAGCUUUUCUGCAACAUUCAUGUUGCAGAGGAGAUGGGAACUGCCACUCAGCUGCUGCCACUCAGCUACUAAAUCUGAAAUAGUUAUUCAGCAAUACAAAAAUGGUAUUGCGGGGUUCUGGGGCAGCCCCUUUGGCUCAAAUGCCAGAGCUUUCUGCUAUACCUACUGAGUUUCAGUAGAUUUUAUUGAAUAAAAGUUUCUCAAUUCAUUACAAGCCCUUCGAUCAAUCUCCAAAGACUUUGUCUAGUUUCAAAUAUGUUUUUCUAGGGGAAAGGAUUUGCCAAGCUCCUCACACUACCAUUCCAGAAGUCCUAACCCUGAACUAUGUUUGCAACUUCUUGUGAAUCCUAAAUUAUUUUAAAAUAAAGAGUAUAAGAAAUAAAAA
Homo sapiens (human) is the source of this 1190-nucleotide long non-coding RNA. NCBI's taxonomy places the organism in Eukaryota, Metazoa, Chordata, Mammalia, Primates, Hominidae. The record is from Ensembl.